Molecule: ribosomal RNA, 453 nt
Filed under: uncultured bacterium
Lineage: Bacteria
Description: partial 16S ribosomal RNA
Rfam family: Bacterial small subunit ribosomal RNA
Source: RNAcentral
GAUGAACGCUGGCGGUAUGCUUAACACAUGCAAGUCGAACGAAGAUUUUUAAUCUUAGUGGCGGACGGGUGAGUAACACGUGAGAAUCUGCCCUUAGGAAGAGGAUAACAGCUGGAAACGGUUGCUAAUACUCUAUACGCCGAAAGGUAAAAGGAAAUAUCCACCUUAGGAAGAGCUCGCGUCUGAUUAGCUUGUUGGUGAGGUAAUGGCUCACCAAGGCGACGAUCAGUAGCUGGUUUGAGAGGACGACCAGCCACACUGGGACUGAGACACGGCCCAGACUCAUACGGGAGGCAGCAGGGGGGAAUUGUCCGAAAUGGGCGAAAGCCUGACGGGGCAAUACCGCGUGAGGGAUGAAAGCCUGUGGGUUGUAAACCUCUUUUCUCAAGGAAGAAAUUUUAACGGUACUUGAGGAAUAAGCAUCGGCUAACUCUGGGCCAGCCGCCGCGGUAA